Molecule: ribosomal RNA, 422 nt
Filed under: uncultured archaeon
Lineage: Archaea
Description: partial 16S ribosomal RNA
Rfam family: Archaeal small subunit ribosomal RNA
Source: RNAcentral
CUACGGGCGGCACCAGUUAAGAAUAAUCUACAAUGCGCGAAAGCGUGAUAGUUUGAGCCAGAGUGCUUUUCUAUUGAAAAGCUUUUGUCAAAUGUAAAAAGUUUGACGAAUAAGGACUGGGUAAGACUAGUGCCAGCCGCCGCGGUAAUACUAGCGGUCCAAGUCGCAGCCAUUUUUAUUGGGUCUAAAACAUCCGUAGCUUGCUUAAUAAGUUUCUUGUGAAAUUUUGUGUCUCAAGCAUGAAGCUUGCAAGAAGUACUGUUAAGCUAGAGACUGGAAGACGUAAGAAGUAUGUUCAAAGUAACGGUUAAAUGUGUUAAUCUUGAGCAGACUAACAAUUAGCGAAGGCAUCUUACGAGGACAGUUCUGACAGUAAGGGAUGAAGGCUAGGGUCGCGAAAGGGAUUAGAUACCCGGGUAGUC